ACGGGAGGCAGCAGUGAGGAAUAUUGGUCAAUGGGCGUAAGCCUGAACCAGCCAAGUAGCGUGGAGGAUGACGGCCCUACGGGUUGUAAACUCCUUUUGCCGGGGGAUAAAAAACGGGACGCGUCCCGUCUUGCAGGUACCCGUGCGAAUAAGGACCGGCUAAUUCCGUGCCAGCAGCCGCGGUAAUACGGAAGGUCCGAGCGUUAUCCGGAUUUAUUGGGUUUAAAGGGUGCGCAGGCGGGAUGUCAAGUCAGUGGUGAAAUGGUGCGGCUCAACCGUAGCAUUGCCGUUGAAACUGGCGUCCUUGAGUGCGAAUGAGGUACGCGGAACGUGUCAUGUAGCGGUGAAAUGCAUAGAUAUGACACAGAACACCGAUUGCGAAGGCAGCGUACUGGGACGCGACUGACGCUGAGGCACGAAAGUGCGGGGAUCGAACAGGAUUAGAUACCUGGUA
RNAcentral lists this ribosomal RNA (454 nucleotides) under uncultured Porphyromonadaceae bacterium. Its description in RNAcentral is "partial 16S ribosomal RNA". It matches the Rfam family "Bacterial small subunit ribosomal RNA", at positions 341 to 792 of the family's 1533-position model. Lineage: Bacteria; Pseudomonadati; Bacteroidota; Bacteroidia; Bacteroidales; Porphyromonadaceae. The record is from RNAcentral.